RNAcentral lists this long non-coding RNA (650 nucleotides) under Ananas comosus (pineapple). RNAcentral describes it as "long non-coding RNA (ACOM_LNC008461)". The record is from RNAcentral. Lineage: Eukaryota; Viridiplantae; Streptophyta; Magnoliopsida; Poales; Bromeliaceae.
UUAGUUGGGGGUUAAGGGGUGGAAUAACCCCUUAAUCCCUAUUUUAUCCCCAAACACUCCAAAAAAUGGGUGGGGUUAGCUAACCCACCUCAAAUAAAUUAUCCCGGUUAGCUAACCCCACCUAACCCCACCAAAUUCCAACCAAAUAUUAUUUUCUAUUCAUAAUAACCCACUAUCUUUCUUAUCACACCUAUUCCAACCAAUCAUUAUCCUUCUUUAUCAAUCAUUAUCUUCUUAUCCCACCUACUCCAACCAAACAUUAUUUUUCAUUAUUCUAGACUAACUCCAACCCCCAACCAAAUACAAAAAAACUUUAACCCCAUUUUAACCCUGAACUUAACUUUAUUCCUGGAAUAGCUACUUUUUCCUUAACCCCGAACCAAAUGGAGGCUUAGACUUCUCUAAUGAAUGACGACACUAUCAAAUAACAAUAGAGAAAUGAUUCGAUAUUUUAUUUUAUAAAAAGUAAAAAAAUCUUAACCGUUAAUUAAUAAAGGUUAAAAAUAUCAUUUCAUUAUGUAACAGGUUAAAAGGUUAUUUCAUAUGAGGGUAUUUUUGUAACAAAACUAGACAAAAUUUUUAAAAAAUUUCGAUUAAUAUCCCAAAUUUACCAUUAAUUUUGUAACUAAUUUAAACAUUAAUUUAAAAUU